AUCGAACGCUGGCGGCAGGCCUAAUACAUGCAAGUCGAACGAGUGGCGGACGGGCGAGUAAUGUAUGGGAAACUGCCUGAUGGAGGGGGAUAACUACUGGAAACGGUAGCUAAUACUGCAUACCAUCAGAUGUGCCCAGAUGGGUUUAGCUGGUUGGUGGGGUAACGGCUCACCAAGGCGACGAUCCCUAGCUGGUCUGAGAGGAUGACCGGCCACACUGGGACUGAGACACGGUCCAGACUCCUACGGGAGGCAGCAGUAGGGAAUAUUGGGCAAUGGACGCAAGCCUGACGCAGCCAUGCCGCGUGUAUGAAGAAGGCCUUCGGGUUGUAAAGUACUUUUGGCGGGGAAGCGUUACCCACAGAAAAAGCACCGGCUAACUCCGUGCCAGCAGCCGCGGUAAUAC
This 406-nucleotide ribosomal RNA is filed under the name uncultured bacterium. Its description in RNAcentral is "partial 16S ribosomal RNA". It matches the Rfam family "Bacterial small subunit ribosomal RNA", at positions 30 to 526 of the family's 1533-position model. The record is from RNAcentral.